Molecule: ribosomal RNA, 475 nt
Filed under: uncultured bacterium
Lineage: Bacteria
Description: bacterial SSU rRNA
Rfam family: Bacterial small subunit ribosomal RNA
Source: RNAcentral
CGAGGACGAACGCUGGCGGUGUGCCUCAUACAUGCAAGUCGAACGAGAAACUGACUUCGGUCAGUGGAAAGUGGCGGACGGGUGAGUAAUAUGUAGGAAAUCUGCCCUAGAGAGGGGGACAACAGAGGGAAACUUCUGCUAAUACCCCAUAUGAGCUUGGUUGAAAUACCAAUCUUGAAAACUCCGGUGCUCUAGGAUGAGCCUGCAUCUGAUUAGCUAGUUGGUGGUGUAAUGGACCACAAAGGCGACGAUCAGUAGCUGGUUUGAGAGGAUGAUCAGCCACAAUGGGACUGAGACACGGCCCAUACUCCUACGGGAGGCAGCAGUAGGGAAUUUUGCGCAAUGGGGGAAACCCUGAACCGCAGCAACACCGCGUGAAUGUUAAGCCCUUCGGGGUAUAAAGUUCUGUCAAUGGGGAAGAAUAAAUGACUGUACCCAUAAAGGAAGCACCGGCUAACUCCGUGCCAGCCGCAGC